GACGAACGCUGGCGGCGUGCUUAACACAUGCAAGUCGAACGGAAAGGCCCCUUCUGGGGUGCUCGCUUGGCUAACAGAUGGGUAACACGUGAGUAACCUACCCUUGACUUCGUUUUGACUUCAUUAAAGUGAGUCUAAUACCGGAUAGGAAUCCUUUCUGCCUGCAUGGGGUUGGAAAGCUUGGGGGGUUUGGUGUGGACUCGCUGGCUAUCUGCUUGUUUGUGGGGUGGUGGCUUACCAAGGCUUUGACGGGUAGCCGGCCGGGGAGGGCGACCGGCCACAGUGGGGCUUGGGUAAGGCCCAGACUUCUACGGGAGGCAGGAGGUGGGAAUAAUGGCAAAUGGGGGGGAGCCUGAUGCAGCAACGCCGCGGGCGGGAAGACGGGCUUCGGGUUGGAAACCGGUUUCAGCAGGGGCGGAGCUGGUGGUGACGGUACCUGGAGAAGAAGCACCGGCUAACUACGUG
Molecule: ribosomal RNA, 465 nt
Filed under: uncultured bacterium
Lineage: Bacteria
Description: partial 16S ribosomal RNA
Rfam family: Bacterial small subunit ribosomal RNA
Source: RNAcentral